Molecule: ribosomal RNA, 264 nt
Filed under: uncultured bacterium
Lineage: Bacteria
Description: partial 16S ribosomal RNA
Rfam family: Bacterial small subunit ribosomal RNA
Source: RNAcentral
CGUAGGGGUGCGAGCGUUGUCCGGAUUUUAUUGGGCGUAAAAGGGCUCGUAGGUGGUUGAUCGCGUCGGAAGUGUAAUCUUGGGGGCUUAACCCUGAGCGUGCUUUUCGAUACGGGUUGACUUGAGGAAGGUAGGGGGAGAAUGGAAUUCCUGGUGGAGCGGUGGAAUGCGCAGAUAUCAGGAGGAACACCAGUGGCGAAGGCGGUUCUCUGGGGCCCUUUUCCUGACGCUGAGGAGCGAAAAGCGUGGGGAGCGAACAGGCUU